GAAUGUAGUGCUGGCCUCUAAAGGUAGGGUGGGAUGUGUAGGUGAUGGUGUGGCAGAUAUCCCUUAUAGGGGUGGCACGAGUCGUGGCGUCCGGGAGAUGUUGGAGGAUGGAUCUAUACAGAGCGAUGUUCGCUGGGACAUGCUCAAUCGAAGGGUGUGGAGAGUCAAAGUCCAGGAUGGCGUGUUUCUCAUCGGGGAGGGGGCCAUGUUCAAGGAGUUUGUCCGGGGGCGCUGGAGGUGAGUCUACAGUGUGUUCGUGGCCCUUUGGGUGCGGGGCCGCCCAUCUGGCAAUGGCCUUUUCCGGGUUGUAUAGGGGCGAGGAUGUUUUGUCUACCAUUGGCC
This 342-nucleotide long non-coding RNA is filed under the name Androctonus crassicauda. Lineage: Eukaryota; Metazoa; Arthropoda; Arachnida; Scorpiones; Buthidae. The record is from RNAcentral.